Regulatory RNA element from Sporomusa sp. An4, 117 nucleotides. It matches the Rfam family "Molybdenum/Tungsten riboswitch aptamer (Moco RNA motif)". The record is from Rfam. Lineage: Bacteria; Bacillati; Bacillota; Negativicutes; Selenomonadales; Sporomusaceae.
UUGAAUAGUAAACUCCGAGCCAAUAGUACCUCACUCUACAAGAAUGGUGGUUGGCCUAUGGGCAUAAUUGGAAACGGUUAUGCCUCCCGUUUGGAAAGGAGCGCAAUUUAGCGGACA